CCUACGGGAGGCAGCAGUAGGGAAUCUUCCGCAAUGGACGAAAGUCUGACGGAGCAACGCCGCGUGAACGAUGAAGGCCUUCGGGUCGUAAAGUUCUGUUGUUAGGGAAGAACAAGUGCUAGUUAAAUAAGCUGGCACCUUGACGGUACCUAACCAGAAAGCCACGGCUAACUACGUGCCAGCAGCCGCGGUAAUACGUAGGUGGCAAGCGUUGUCCGGAAUUAUUGGGCGUAAAGCGCGCGCAGGCGGUUUCUUAAGUCUGAUGUGAAAGCCCCCGGCUCAACCGGGGAGGGUCAUUGGAAACUGGGAAACUUGAGUGCAGAAGAGGAAAGUGGAAUUCCAAGUGUAGCGGUGAAAUGCGUAGAGAUUUGGAGGAACACCAGUGGCGAAGGCGACUUUCUGGUCUGUAACUGACGCUGAGGCGCGAAAGCGUGGGGAGCAAACAGGAUUAGAUACCCUGGUAGUCCACGCUGUAAACGAUGAGUGCUAAGUGUUAGAGGGUUUCCGCCUUUAGUGCUGAAGUUACGCAUUAAGCNCUCGCGNGGAGUACGUCGCGAGAGNGAACUAAUAGUAGUUAGAGNGUUGAGAGNGCGACGGCGACGACGAGGGAGGAGG
This 615-nucleotide ribosomal RNA is filed under the name uncultured bacterium. RNAcentral describes it as "bacterial SSU rRNA". The stretch from base 1 to 542 matches the Rfam family "Bacterial small subunit ribosomal RNA", at positions 338 to 873 of the family's 1533-position model. The record is from RNAcentral.